RNAcentral lists this transfer RNA (71 nucleotides) under Lebiasina multimaculata. Its description in RNAcentral is "tRNA-Tyr". It matches the Rfam family "tRNA". From Rfam's summary of the family: Transfer RNA (tRNA) molecules are approximately 80 nucleotides in length. Their secondary structure includes four short double-helical elements and three loops (D, anti-codon, and T loops). Lineage: Eukaryota; Metazoa; Chordata; Actinopteri; Characiformes; Lebiasinidae. The record is from RNAcentral. RNAcentral also lists the same sequence under 1 other name.
GGUAAGAUGGCUGAGAGUCUAAGCGGUGGAUUGUAGCUCCACAGACAGGGGUUUGAGCCCUCUUCUUAUCA